GACGAACGCUGACGGCGUGCUUAACACAUGUAAGUCGAAGGGAGUGGCGAACGGGUGAGUAACACGUGAGUAACCUGCCCUUUUCUUUGGGAUAAGCCUGGGAACCUGGGCCAAAUACUGGAUGGAUUGGGAUGGGCUCGCGGCUUGUCAGCGUGUUGGUGGGGUGAUGGCUUACCAAGGCUUUGACGGGUGGCCGGCCUGAGAGGGUGGUCGGUCACACUGGGACUGAGAUACGGCCCAGAAGCGUACGGGAGGGAGCAGUGGGGGCUAUGGCGCAGUGGACGAAAGUCUGAUGCAGCGACGUCGUGUGGGGGAUGAAGGCCUUCGGGUUGUAAAGUCCUUUCGCCCGCGGAAUGGUAGUGGGUAAAGAAGCGCCGGCUAACUACGUGCCAGCAGCCGCGGUAAUAC
RNAcentral lists this ribosomal RNA (408 nucleotides) under uncultured bacterium. RNAcentral describes it as "partial 16S ribosomal RNA". It matches the Rfam family "Bacterial small subunit ribosomal RNA", at positions 28 to 526 of the family's 1533-position model. The record is from RNAcentral.